CAAAGAACACCCCACUUUCCAAGCAUUUGGUUCUGUCAUAUUUACACAUAAAAGCUGACCAUGACCACCGUAAAUGCCCCUGUGUGUCUCCUUGCUCGGAAUGAGUUUUAUCGGAGCAUCUGCCCGACAGACAAAAUGAAGGCAGUUAAUAGUCUUUCUGAUAACUUAAUGGAACCAAAGCAAAGACAAGUGACUGUCUGGGUGACCAAAUCCAAGCACCAAGAUUUAGGGCCAAUGAGUGAUGGUUGGACAAUAAAUGUGGUUUUAAAGAGACCGGCAUCCAGGGGAGCCUCUUCCAAAAGGCAAAGCACCGCUGAUCGUGAGGUGAAGUAGACACCUGCACAAGAAUAGUGUAUAGAGCGCUGGAAAAAAAUAUGCUUCACUACAGACACAAUAUGUGAAAGUGCUGCUCCAAUAAUAGG
Sinocyclocheilus grahami is the source of this 422-nucleotide long non-coding RNA. RefSeq lists it as uncharacterized. NCBI's taxonomy places the organism in Eukaryota, Metazoa, Chordata, Actinopteri, Cypriniformes, Cyprinidae. The transcript is spliced from 3 exons. The record is from RefSeq and is a predicted model, not a curated record.